Long non-coding RNA from Ictalurus punctatus (channel catfish), 626 nucleotides. The record is from Ensembl. NCBI's taxonomy places the organism in Eukaryota, Metazoa, Chordata, Actinopteri, Siluriformes, Ictaluridae.
AUUGUGAAUAACAUGGGUUUAUGAGAUUUACAAAUCACUGCAUUCUUUUUAUUUACAUUUUACAGGGUGUCCCAACAUUUUUGGAAUUGGGGUUGUAAAACAUCAGAGCGCUUCAUGAGUGAGGUGUAACUUUGUGAUUUUUGUAAUCUAAGUAGGGUUUUGUUUGUUUGUUUGUUUGUUUGUUUGUUUGUUUGUUUUAACAGUUUCCAGUUUUUAAAAUCUGUCUUUUUGUGAGUGUGGAAGUGGCAGUGCUGGUUUGAUUAGCAGGUAUACUGAGCAGGGGGUUAGGGAUUUACUCCCCUUUCCAAAACCUUGGUUACACUGCAGAAUUAGCUGCUGAAAGAAUGCACACGGAUGGAACGGCUGUGCGUCCUGGGGGCCGGAGCUUAAGCACAGGCCGAGUGGCAGGAUUACGGAGGAAAUGAGAGGACAGAGCAGGGGACCUAAAGUCAGGAGGGCACGACGGCUCCAGACGUCUCCUGUAGCUUUGAAGCCAGUGCAAUCAGUUUAAAGAACAAAAGCAACAGUUGCUGUAGAAGCACUUGAGUCUCAAAAUGCUAAAGACAUGGGUGAAAGAAACGCUUGGUCCCAUCUGCAUUAUAAAAGGAUGAAAGGUUGACAAUCAC